UUUCCUACGGGAGGCAGCAGUGAGGAAUAUUGGUCAAUGGGCGGGAGCCUGAACCAGCCAAGCCGCGUGAAGGAAGAAGGCGCCAGGCGUCGUAAACUUCUUUUGUCGGGGAACAAAGGGCGCCACGCGUGGCGUUGUGAGUGUACCCGAAGAAAAAGCAUCGGCUAACUCCGUGCCAGCAGCCGCGGUAAUACGGAGGAUGCGAGCGUUAUCCGGAUUUAUUGGGUUUAAAGGGUGCGUAGGCGGACUGUUAAGUCAGCGGUAAAAGCCCGGGGCUCAACCCCGGCGAGCCGUUGAAACUGGCU
This 305-nucleotide ribosomal RNA is filed under the name uncultured bacterium. RNAcentral's name for it is "bacterial SSU rRNA". It matches the Rfam family "Bacterial small subunit ribosomal RNA", at positions 335 to 638 of the family's 1533-position model. The record is from RNAcentral.